Molecule: small nucleolar RNA, 201 nt
Organism: Procambarus clarkii (red swamp crayfish)
Lineage: Eukaryota; Metazoa; Arthropoda; Malacostraca; Decapoda; Cambaridae
Product: small nucleolar RNA U3
Source: RefSeq, a predicted model, not a curated record
AUGAUCAUACUUCAUAGGAUCAAUUCUAUAGUAUGACUGCCGAGUUCCUUGUCCGAAACUCGGGAAGGAAUCACACUGCGAUGAUGUAGCUAAGUGUGAGCCUCUGAGCGGGAAGCUGUUCAAGGUGUAAUGCCUUGGACAUUGAUGACCGUUCCCUCUUGGUUUACCAGGAGUGGAGGAGGCCCGCACAGGCUGAGCAGU